This is a long non-coding RNA of Salvelinus sp. IW2-2015, 336 nucleotides long. RefSeq lists it as uncharacterized. The record is from RefSeq and is a predicted model, not a curated record. Lineage: Eukaryota; Metazoa; Chordata; Actinopteri; Salmoniformes; Salmonidae.
GUUUGGAAUUCAGGAAAAUAUAGGCUUACCUAGAGGAGGACGACUAUGAAAGAGGAACCGCUGGGCAGCGGGAUGAACUCGGCUCGCUCGUGGAUGCACACAUCUGGGGUAGUGGAUGCGAACACAGCCGCCCAAAGCGGUGUGGGUUUGGCUCGGGCACACUACGAGAAGCAACCGCCGUCCAACCUCAGAAAAUCAACUUUUUCCCACUUCGUUCUUUUGCGCUGUAUGACAGGCAAGGGCAGCCCGUGAGAUCGAACGGACAGCUUAUGUGGACUUUGUGGAGAAGGACAAAGAACCAAACAAUGAAAAAACUAACAAUGGAUAGCACUACAA